AUAACGACUCUCGGCAACGGAUAUCUCGGCUCUCGCAUCGAUGAAGAACGUAGCGAAAUGCGAUACUUGGUGUGAAUUGCAGAAUCCCGUGAACCAUCGAGUCUUUGAACGCAAGUUGCGCCCCAAGCUCUAAGCCGAGGGCACGUCUGCCUGGGUGUCACG
RNAcentral lists this ribosomal RNA (162 nucleotides) under Melicoccus bijugatus. RNAcentral's name for it is "partial 5.8S ribosomal RNA". It matches the Rfam family "5.8S ribosomal RNA". From Rfam's summary of the family: 5.8S ribosomal RNA (5.8S rRNA) is a component of the large subunit of the eukaryotic ribosome. Lineage: Eukaryota; Viridiplantae; Streptophyta; Magnoliopsida; Sapindales; Sapindaceae. The record is from RNAcentral.